This 91-nucleotide ribosomal RNA is filed under the name Enterocloster clostridioformis. Its description in RNAcentral is "[Clostridium] clostridioforme 16S rRNA. Bacterial SSU". Lineage: Bacteria; Bacillati; Bacillota; Clostridia; Lachnospirales; Lachnospiraceae. The record is from RNAcentral.
CUGGCUCAGGAUGAACGCUGGCGGCGUGCCUAACACAUGCAAGUCGAACGAAGCAAUUAAGAUGAAGUUUUCGGAUGGAAUCUUGAUUGAC